GACAGCACUUGGAGGAUGUAUAGCAAUAGCUAGUUGCAUCAUUGUAGAAAUGAUGCAAAAUCGACUAUGUUGAAUAAAAUUCUAGGUAGAAUUAUGAUAAUGACAUUGUCUGCCUAUGUGUCUUGACCAAAUUACGUGCCAGCAGUCGCGGUAAUACGUAGAAGACUAGUGUUAUUCAUGUUUAAUCGGUUUAAAGGGUACCUAGACGGUAGAUCAAGCUUUCUAAUAAAGGAAAAGGACUAAUUUACUAGAGUUACUUAUGAGGGGGUAUUAAAGUACUGCUGGUGUAGAGAUGAAAUUCUGUCAUACCUCUUUUCAAAAGAAAAACCAUGGCACAGGUAUAGGCGAAGGCAUCCCCUUAUGUGAUAACUGACGUUGAGGGACGAAGGCUUUACAUAGCGAACAGGAUUAGAUACCCCAGUAGUCGAAGCAGAAAAUGAUGAAUGUCAUAGAUUAGAUAUAUAAGUUUAUUCUAUAAAUGAAAGUGUAAGCAUUCCACCUCAUGAGUAAUUUGGCAACAUUGGAACUGAAAUCAUUAGACCGUUUCUGAAACCAGUAGUGAAGUAUGUUGUUUAAUUUGAUGAUCCGCAAAAAACCUUACCACAAUUUGAAUAUUUAUAUUAUUUAUUGUUUUAUUAUUAAUUUUCUUGAACGUAAACAUGACGUAAAAAAAAAGAAAGAAAAAGAGUACAAUGAUAAUAGUAAAAAAAUUAAUAAAGAGGCAAUAAGAUAUAUUUACAAGCGUUGCACGGCUGUCUUCAGUUAAUGUCGCGAGACUUUGGUUAGUUCCAUUAAAUUAACGUAAA
Molecule: ribosomal RNA, 806 nt
Filed under: Xanthoparmelia aff. epacridea MAF-LICH 16208
Lineage: Eukaryota; Fungi; Ascomycota; Lecanoromycetes; Lecanorales; Parmeliaceae
Description: SSU rRNA
Rfam family: Bacterial small subunit ribosomal RNA
Source: RNAcentral